AUGGCGUCGUCGGCGCCGGGCGGCGGCAGCGGGAAGAUCGAGCGGCUUUCGUCGAUCGACGCGCAGCUGCGCCUGCUCGUCCCGGCCAAGGUGUCCGAGGACGACAAGCUCAUUGAGUACGACGCGCUCCUCCUCGACCGCUUCCUCGACGUCCUGCAGGGCCUCCACGGCGACGAUCUCAGGGAGAUGGUUCAAGAAUGCUAUGAGGUGGCUGCUGAAUAUGAAACAAAGCAUGACCUGGAAAAGCUUGAUGAACUCGGAGAGAUGAUAACAAGCUUGGAUCCUGGCGACUCUAUUGUGAUUGCCAAAGCUUUUUCACACAUGCUUAACUUGGCCAACUUGGCCGAGGAAGUGCAGAUUGCAUACAGGAGGAGAGUCAAGCUCAAGAAGGGAGACUUUGCUGAUGAAAAUUCAGCAAUCACAGAAUCUGACAUCGAGGAAACUCUUAAGAGGCUUGUUUUUGACAUGAAGAAGUCCCCUGCUGAGGUCUUUGAUGCCCUCAAGAAUCAGACUGUUGAUCUUGUUUUGACUGCACAUCCAACACAAUCUGUAAGGAGGUCACUGCUCCAGAAGCAUUCGAGGAUCCGGAACUGUUUGGUUCAGUUAUACUCGAAGGAUAUCACUCCAGAUGACAAGCAGGAGCUUGAUGAGGCUCUUCAGAGAGAGAUCCAAGCUGCCUUUAGAACUGAUGAGAUCCGAAGGACUCAGCCCACUCCCCAAGAUGAGAUGCGUGCUGGUAUGAGCUACUUCCAUGAGACAAUAUGGAAGGGUGUUCCAAAGUUUUUGCGCCGUGUUGAUACGGCAUUGAAGAACAUUGGGAUCAAUGAGCGUGUUCCCUAUAAUGCUCCUCUUAUCCAAUUCUCUUCUUGGAUGGGUGGAGAUCGUGACGGAAAUCCAAGAGUGACACCAGAAGUUACAAGGGACGUCUGCUUGCUCGCCAGAAUGAUGGCAGCUAAUUUGUAUUGUGCACAGAUUGAGGAUCUCAUGUUUGAGUUGUCUAUGUGGCGUUGCAACGAUGAGCUACGCUCGCGAGCUGAUGAGCUGCACCAAUCUUCUAAGAAGGACGCUAAGCAUUACAUAGAGUUCUGGAAGAAGGUUCCUCCAAAUGAGCCAUAUCGGGUAAUACUGGGUGAUGUUAGGGAUAAUCUUUACAACACGCGUGAGCGAUCACGUGAGUUGUUAUCCAGUGGACAUUCUGACAUACCUGAGGAAGCUACUCUGACAAAUCUUGAGCAGCUGUUGGAGCCCUUGGAGCUCUGUUACAGGUCGCUGUGUGCUUGUGGUGACCGUGUUAUUGCUGAUGGAACCCUUCUUGAUUUCUUGCGCCAAGUCUCUACCUUUGGACUUUCCCUCGUGAAGCUUGACAUCAGGCAAGAGUCUGACAGGCACACUGAUGCUCUUGAUGCAAUCACCUCAUACCUGGGAAUAGGAUCUUAUCGUGAGUGGUCUGAGGAACGCCGUCAAGAAUGGCUGUUGUCUGAACUCAAUGGGAAGCGCCCAUUAUUUGGUGCAGACCUUCCCAUGACAGAGGAAGUUGCUGAUGUUAUGGGCGCGUUUCAGGUUAUCGCUGAGCUGCCCGGUGACAAUUUUGGAGCAUAUGUCAUUUCAAUGGCAACAUCUCCUUCAGAUGUUCUUGCUGUGGAGCUCCUCCAACGUGAGUGCCAUAUCAAGACACCACUUCGAGUUGUCCCCCUGUUUGAGAAGUUGGCCGAUCUCGAGGCUGCCCCAGCAGCACUGGCCAGACUCUUCUCAAUAGAUUGGUACAGAGAGAGGAUCAAUGGCAAGCAGGAGGUCAUGAUUGGGUAUUCAGACUCAGGCAAGGAUGCAGGCCGUCUCUCAGCAGCUUGGCAGAUGUACAAGGCUCAGGAGGACCUCGUCAAGGUCGCUAAGCAAUUUGGAGUGAAAUUGACGAUGUUCCAUGGACGAGGUGGGACUGUUGGAAGGGGCGGUGGCCCUACUCACCUUGCCAUCUUGUCUCAGCCACCGGACACGAUCAAUGGAUCACUCCGGGUCACUGUUCAGGGUGAAGUUAUUGAGCAGAGCUUUGGGGAGGAACACUUGUGCUUCAGGACGCUCCAGCGUUUCACAGCUGCUACUCUUGAGCAUGGGAUGCGUCCACCCAUUUCACCAAAGCCAGAGUGGCGAGCUCUUCUUGAUGAGAUGGCUGUGGUGGCAACUGAAGAAUAUCGGUCAAUCGUCUUCCAAGAACCACGCUUCGUCGAGUAUUUCCGCCUUGCAACACCAGAGACAGAGUAUGGCAGGAUGAAUAUAGGAAGCAGGCCGUCCAAGAGAAAGCCCAGUGGUGGCAUUGAAUCACUCCGUGCAAUCCCAUGGAUCUUUGCAUGGACGCAGACACGGUUCCACCUCCCGGUCUGGCUGGGCUUUGGUGGCGCCUUCAAGCAUAUCCUAAAGAAGGACAUCAGGAACUUCCACAUGCUCCAGGAGAUGUACAACGAGUGGCCAUUCUUCAGGGUCACCAUCGAUCUUGUUGAGAUGGUGUUCGCCAAGGGUAAUCCUGGCAUUGCUGCCUUGUAUGACAGGCUCCUAGUUUCAGAGGGGCUACAGCCACUGGGUGAGAAGCUGAGGGCCAACUAUGAGGAGACCCAGAAGCUGCUUCUUCAGGUUGCUGGGCACAAGGAUCUUCUUGAAGGUGAUCCCUACCUGAAGCAGCGGCUCCGCCUCCGUGACGCGUACAUCACCACCAUGAAUGUCUGCCAAGCAUACACAUUGAAGAGGAUCCGUGACCCAGACUACCACGUCGCAUUGCGCCCCCAUCUGUCCAAGGAGGUGAUGGACACGAGCAAGCCGGCUGCUGAGCUCGUGACGCUGAACCCGGCGAGUGAGUACGCGCCGGGGCUGGAGGAUACCCUCAUCUUGACCAUGAAGGGCAUUGCUGCCGGUCUGCAGAACACCGGUUAG
Molecule: ribosomal RNA, 2919 nt
Filed under: Triticum aestivum (bread wheat)
Lineage: Eukaryota; Viridiplantae; Streptophyta; Magnoliopsida; Poales; Poaceae
Description: partial small subunit ribosomal RNA
Source: RNAcentral